Molecule: ribosomal RNA, 253 nt
Filed under: uncultured bacterium
Lineage: Bacteria
Description: partial 16S ribosomal RNA
Rfam family: Bacterial small subunit ribosomal RNA
Source: RNAcentral
UACAGAGGGGGCAAGCGUUGUCCGGAUUUACUGGGCGUACAGCGCGCGCAGGCGGUUGCGUAUGUGAGCGGUGACAUCCGCGGGCUCAACCCGCGGCGGCCCGCUUACACAGCGCGACUGGAGGCAGGGAGAGGGAUGUGGAAUUCCCGGUGUAGCGGUGAAAUGCGCAGAUAUCGGGAGGAACACCCGUAGCGAAGGCGGCACUCUGGGCCGGAACUGACGCUGAGGAGCGAAAGCGUGGGGAGCAAACAGG